Molecule: ribosomal RNA, 450 nt
Filed under: uncultured bacterium
Lineage: Bacteria
Description: partial 16S ribosomal RNA
Rfam family: Bacterial small subunit ribosomal RNA
Source: RNAcentral
GUGGGGAAUCUUCCGCAAUGGACGAAAGUCUGACGGAGCGACGCCGCGUGAGUGAAGAAGGCCUUCGGGUCGUAAAGCUCUGUCAUCAGGGACGAACGGCCGGUGGAGUGGAAAGCCACCGGAUUGACGGUACCUGAGAAGGAAGCCACGGCUAACUACGUGCCAGCAGCCGCGGUAAUACGUAGGUGGCAAGCGUUGUCCGGAAUUAUUGGGCGUAAAGUGCGCGCAGGUGGGAUCUUAAGUCCAUUUUGAAAGUUCGGAGCUCAACUCCGUGAUGGGAUGGAAACUGGGAUUCUUGAGUACCGGAGAGGAAAGCGGAAUUCCCCGUGUAGCGGUGAAAUGCGUAGAUAUGGGGAGGAACACCAGUGGCGAAGGCGGCUUUCUGGACGGUGUCUGACACUGAGGCGCGAAAGCUAGGGGAGCGAACGGGAUUAGAUACCCGGGUAGUCC